This 333-nucleotide ribosomal RNA is filed under the name Helictopleurus semivirens. RNAcentral's name for it is "eukaryotic LSU rRNA". It matches the Rfam family "Eukaryotic large subunit ribosomal RNA", at positions 656 to 954 of the family's 3401-position model. Lineage: Eukaryota; Metazoa; Arthropoda; Insecta; Coleoptera; Scarabaeidae. The record is from RNAcentral.
GAAACACGGACCAAGGAGUCUAGCAUGUGCGCGAGUCAUUGGGACUCUAAUAAACCUAAAGGCGUAAUGAAAGUAAAAGUCCGCCUUGUGCGGACUUAGGGAGGAUGGGACCGUUCUCGUGACGGACCCCGCACUCCCGGGGCGUCUCGUUCUCAUCGCGAGAAGAGGCGCACCUAGAGCGUACACGCUGGGACCCGAAAGAUGGUGAACUAUGCCUGGUCAGGACGAAGUCAGGGGAAACCCUGAUGGAGGUCCGUAGCGAUUCUGACGUGCAAAUCGAUCGUCGGAACUGGGUAUAGGGGCGAAAGACUAAUCGAACCUUCUAGUAGCUGG